RNAcentral lists this ribosomal RNA (270 nucleotides) under Prymnesium parvum. RNAcentral describes it as "partial Bacterial small subunit ribosomal RNA". It matches the Rfam family "Bacterial small subunit ribosomal RNA", at positions 91 to 362 of the family's 1533-position model. Lineage: Eukaryota; Haptophyta; Prymnesiales; Prymnesiaceae. The record is from RNAcentral.
AUUAGUGGCGGACGGGUGAGUAACAUUUAGGAAUCUGCCUAGUAGUGGGGGACAACAUGUGGAAACGCAUGCUAAUACCGCAUACGCCCUAAGGGGGAAAGGAGGGGACUUUUCGGAGCCUUCCGCUAUUAGAUGAGCCUGCGUAAGAUUAGCUAGUUGGUAGGGUAAAGGCCUACCAAGGCGACGAUCUGUAGCGGGUCUGAGAGGAUGAUCCGCCACACUGGGACUGAGACACGGCCCAGACUCCUACGGGAGGCAGCAGUGGGGAAU